RNAcentral lists this ribosomal RNA (407 nucleotides) under uncultured bacterium. Its description in RNAcentral is "partial 16S ribosomal RNA". It matches the Rfam family "Bacterial small subunit ribosomal RNA", at positions 30 to 526 of the family's 1533-position model. The record is from RNAcentral.
AUUGAACGCUAGCGGGAUGCCUUACACAUGCAAGUCGAACGGAGUGGCGAACGGGUGAGUAAUGUAUCGGAACGUGCCCAGUAGCGGGGGAUAACUACGCGAAAGCGUAGCUAAUACCGCAUACUUUUGGAGCGGCCGUUAUCGGAUUAGCUAGUGGGUGGGGUAACGGCUCACCAAGGCGACGAUCCGUAGCUGGUUUGAGAGGUCGACCAGCCACACGGGGACUGAGACACGGCCCAGAGUCCUGCGGGAGGCAGCAGUGGGGAAUUGUGGACAAUGGGGGAAACCCUGAUGCAGCCAUCCCGCGUGUGCGAUGAAGGCCGUCGGGUUGUAAAGCACUUUUGGCAGGAGAGCGGUACCUGCAGAAUAAGCACCGGCUAACUACGUGCCAGCAGCCGCGGUAAUUC